RNAcentral lists this ribosomal RNA (468 nucleotides) under uncultured bacterium. RNAcentral's name for it is "partial 16S ribosomal RNA". It matches the Rfam family "Bacterial small subunit ribosomal RNA", at positions 28 to 507 of the family's 1533-position model. The record is from RNAcentral.
GACGAACGCUGGCGGCGUGCUUAACACAUGCAAGUCGAACGGAAAGGCCCUGCUUUUGUGGGGUUCUCGAGUGGCGAACGCGUGAGUAACACGUGAGUAACCUGCCCUUGAUUUUGGGAUAACUUCAGGAAACUGGGGCUAAUCCCGGAUAGGAGCUCCUGCUGCAUGGUGGGGGUUGGAAAGUUUCGGCGGUUGGGGAUGGACUCGCGGCUUAUCAGCUUGUUGGUGGGGUAGUGGCUUACCAAGGCUUUGACGGGUAGCCGGCCUGAGAGGGUGACCGGCCACAUUGGGACUGAGAUACGGCCCAGACUCCUACGGGAGGCAGCAGUGGGGAAUAUUGCACAAUGGGCGGAAGCCUGAUGCAGCAACGCCGCGUGCGGGAUGACGGCCUUCGGGGUGUAAACCGCUUGCGCCUGUGACGAAGCGUGAGUGACGGUAAUGGGUAAAGAAGCACCGGCUAACUACGUG